GUUUGCAAAUUUUUCUUUCAAUGAGCAAAAGGAUUUCUUUAAUCAUUUAGCCUUGUUAUUGGUUAUUUAUCAUUUAUUCUUACAGGACAUGGUAGAUAUAAUUUUAAUCCAUAUCGGCAUAUGAAACAUGAAUGUUUAACAAUUCUUUUAAGUGAUCCUUCAAAAACUGAUCUUGCAAAAAGUGAAAUAACAAAAAUAUGGAAAACCAAGGCAAAUUCUAAACGGAAAAAGACUCUAAGGAAAUGGUCAAAUCAAAAGCUCAAAUAUGUCAGUAAUAUUGGCAAGCAUUAUUAAUUUUGUUUGAAUUUGAAACUGUGAGUUAUAAAUAUAAAAAAGCAGUUGCAUUAACAAAUCAAAUUAUUUUAACCAUUUCAUCAGAAAUAUGAAUUAAUAUGAUAUUGC
This 402-nucleotide long non-coding RNA is filed under the name Mytilus galloprovincialis (Mediterranean mussel). Lineage: Eukaryota; Metazoa; Mollusca; Bivalvia; Mytilida; Mytilidae. The record is from RNAcentral.